AUACGGAGGGUGCAAGCGUUAUCCGGAUUCACUGGGUUUAAAGGGAGCGUAGGUGGGUUGGUAAGUCAGUGGUGAAAUCUCCGAGCUUAGCUUGGAAACUGCCAUUGAUACUAUCAAUCUUGAAUACUGUGGAGGUAAGCGGAAUAUAUCAUGUAGCGGUGAAAUGCUUAGAUAUGAUAUAGAACACCGAUAGCGAAGGCAGCUUACUACGCAGUUAUUGACACUGAGGCUCGAAAGCGUGGGGAUCAAACAGGAUUAGAUACCCUGGUAGUCCACGCUCUAAACUAUGGAUACUCGACAUCAGCGAUACACAGUUGGUGUCUGAGCGAAAGCAUUAAGUAUCCCACCUGGGAAGUACGUCCGCAAGGAUGAA
RNAcentral lists this ribosomal RNA (373 nucleotides) under uncultured bacterium. RNAcentral's name for it is "bacterial SSU rRNA". It matches the Rfam family "Bacterial small subunit ribosomal RNA", at positions 523 to 898 of the family's 1533-position model. The record is from RNAcentral.